This 2036-nucleotide ribosomal RNA is filed under the name Antonactinomyxon sp. KAB-2001. RNAcentral describes it as "SSU rRNA". It matches the Rfam family "Eukaryotic small subunit ribosomal RNA". Lineage: Eukaryota; Metazoa; Cnidaria; Myxozoa. The record is from RNAcentral.
AGCCAAGGACAUACGAUAUUAUCCGUGAGACUGCGGACGGCUCAGAAUAUCAGUGAUGAUCUGAUUGAUUGGAUAUCCCAUUGGAUAACCGUGGGAAAUCUAGAGCUAAUACAUGUACUAAAUUAAUAUUAGUCGUAAAAAAUUAAUAUUAAAGCAUUUAUUAGACUUAACCAUCUACUUUAUUAUUCGAAAGUGUGAUAUAGUAAGGCGAAUCUAGAUAACUUUGCUGAUCGUAUAGCCUUGUGCUGACGACGUUUCAAUUGAGUUUCUGCCCUAUCAAUUUGUUGGUAUGGUAUUGGCAUACCAAGGUUGCAACGGGUAACGGGGAAUCAGGGUUCGAUUCCGGAGAGGGAGCCUGAGAAACGGCUACCACAUCCAAGGAAGGCAACAGGCGCGCAAAUUACCCAAUCUAGACAGUAGGAGGUGGUAAAGAGAAUUACUAAGAGGUGGCCCUAUGGGCUACCAGCUUGGAAUGAACGUAAUUUAAGCAAUUCGAUGAGUAACUACUGGAGGGCAAGUCCUGGUGCCAGCAGCCCGCGGUAAUUCCAGCUCCAGUGGCGUGAUUUAAAGCUGUUGCGUUUAAAACGCUCGUAGUUGGAUCACGCAGUGACGUUCAGUAGUCAUCGCGUUAUACAUAUAAACUGUGGUGAGUGAUUAUUAGCCCAAAAGCGAGUAGUUGCAUCACAGUGUGUGCGUGUUGAUAUUAACGCUGGAUGUCACUAGUUGCGCGUGAGUAUGAUAGUUGACCUUGAAUGAGUUGAGUGUCAUGUCUUGCGGAGUGUGCCUUGAAUAAAACAGAGUGCUCAAAGCAGGCGAAAGCUUGAAUGUUAUAGCAUGGAACGAACAAACGUGUGAUAGCGCAUAUUUGUGUAUGUACGACGAGUUUCUGACUUGUUGUAUGUAUCGGUGUGUGCAGCACCUACCAAAGUACGGAUGUUGGUUUCGUAUACGGUGAUGAUUAAAAGGAGCGGUUGGGGGCAUUGGUAUUUGNCCGCGAGAGGUGAAAUUCUUAGACCGGUCAAGGACUAACAAAUGCGAAGGCACUUGUCUAGACCGUUUCCAUUAAUCAAGAACGAAAGUGGGAGGUUCGAAGACGAUCAGAUACCGUCCUAGUUCCCACUGUAAACUAUGCCGACCUGGGAUCAGCUUAGAGUUUGUUACAAUAUCUAAGUUGGUCCCCCUGGGAAACCUCAAGUUUUUCGGUUACGGGGAGAGUAUGGUCGCAAGGCUGAAACUUAAAGGAAUUGACGGAAGGGCACCACCAGGGGUGGAGCCUGCGGCUUAAUUUGACUCAACACGGGGAAACUUACCUGGUCCGGACAUCGAUAGGAUAGACAGACUGAUAGAUCUUUCUUGAUGCGAUGAGUGGUGGUGCAUGGCCGUUCUUAGUUCGUGGAGUGAUCUGUCAUUUUAAUUAAGGUAACGAACGAGACCACGUUCUCCAUUUAAGAUACGAAAGUAGAAUGAGAAUACGUUGUAUAUUUAAUCGUAUACACGUGAGAUGAUCAUUUGUAGGUAAUAUUGAUGAAUUUGAUUGAGUUUUAUGUGAAGAUGUAAAAAUUGGAGCAUAAGAUUUGAUUGGAGGUGGCGAUAUUCCGUUUCGUUGAGCACUAUUCGGUUUAAUACUGAAUGGUGUCUUAUGGAGAGACAACGAGGUAUAUAAAAGCUCGAGGAAGAGUGGCUAUAACAGGUCAGUGAUGCCCUUCGAUGUUCAGGGCAGCACGCGCGCUACAAUGAUAACGACAACAAGUAUCUGGGUUGAGAAACUUGGGUAAUCUUUAGAAUCGUUAUCGUGAUGGGGAUUGACCGUUGUAAUUAUCGGUCAUGAAAGAGGAAUCCCUAGUAUGUAUAUUUUAUUAGAAUAUACAGAUUGAGUCCCUGCCCUUUGUACACACCGCCCGUCGCUACUACCGAGUGAAUGGUGUCAUGAUGCCUUGGGACUGGACGUUGAACGAAGGUAAAACUUUGUUUAAUGCUGGAAUCAGCGUAGAAUGGCGCAAUUUCGAGGAAGUAAAAGUCGUAACAAGGUUUCCGUA